This 686-nucleotide ribosomal RNA is filed under the name uncultured bacterium. RNAcentral's name for it is "bacterial SSU rRNA". It matches the Rfam family "Bacterial small subunit ribosomal RNA", at positions 62 to 763 of the family's 1533-position model. The record is from RNAcentral.
UCGAGCGAAAGGAUUCCCUUCGGGGAUGAAUUUAGCGGCGGACGGGUGAGUAACACGUGGGCAACCUGCCUUAUAGAGGGGGAUAGCCUUCCGAAAGGAAGAUUAAUACCGCAUAACAUCAUUUUACCGCAUGGUAGUUUGAUCAAAGGAGCAAUCCGCUAUAAGAUGGGCCCGCGGCGCAUUAGCUAGUUGGUGAGGUAACGGCUCACCAAGGCGACGAUGCGUAGCCGACCUGAGAGGGUGAUCGGCCACAUUGGGACUGAGACACGGCCCAGACUCCUACGGGAGGCAGCAGUGGGGAAUAUUGCACAAUGGGGGAAACCCUGAUGCAGCAACGCCGCGUGAGUGAUGAAGGCCUUCGGGUUGUAAAGCUCUGUCUUUGGGGACGAUAAUGACGGUACCCAAGGAGGAAGCCACGGCUAACUACGUGCCAGCAGCCGCGGUAAUACGUAGGUGGCAAGCGUUGUCCGGAUUUACUGGGCGUAAAGGGAGCGUAGGUGGAUAUUUAAGUGGGAUGUGAAAUCUCCGGGCUUAACCUGGGGGCUGCAUUCCAAACUGGAUGUCUAGAGUGCAGGAGAGGAGAGUGGAAUUCCUAGUGUAGCGGUGAAAUGCGUAGAGAUUAGGAAGAACACCAGUGGCGAAGGCGACUCUCUGGACUGUAACUGACACUGAGGCUCGAAAGCGUG